RNAcentral lists this microRNA (23 nucleotides) under Salmo salar (Atlantic salmon). RNAcentral describes it as "ssa-miR-202-3p". Its record names the gene ssa-miR-202-3p. Lineage: Eukaryota; Metazoa; Chordata; Actinopteri; Salmoniformes; Salmonidae. The record is from miRBase by way of RNAcentral.
UUCCUAUGCAUAUACCGCUUUGA